GCGGCCGUCGUCUAGUCUGGAUUAGGACGCUGGCCUUCCAUGAGCCAGCAAUCCCGGGUUCGAAUCCCGGCGGCC
RNAcentral lists this transfer RNA (75 nucleotides) under Sulfolobus acidocaldarius DSM 639. RNAcentral's name for it is "tRNA-Gly". It matches the Rfam family "tRNA". From Rfam's summary of the family: Transfer RNA (tRNA) molecules are approximately 80 nucleotides in length. Their secondary structure includes four short double-helical elements and three loops (D, anti-codon, and T loops). Lineage: Archaea; Thermoproteati; Thermoproteota; Thermoprotei; Sulfolobales; Sulfolobaceae. The record is from RNAcentral.